RNAcentral lists this ribosomal RNA (475 nucleotides) under Halorubrum distributum. RNAcentral describes it as "partial 16S ribosomal RNA". It matches the Rfam family "Archaeal small subunit ribosomal RNA", at positions 112 to 586 of the family's 1478-position model. Lineage: Archaea; Methanobacteriati; Methanobacteriota; Halobacteria; Halobacteriales; Haloferacaceae. The record is from RNAcentral.
CCCUUCGGAACACAAUACCCUCGGGAAACUGAGGCUAAUAGUGUAUACCACAUCACCACUGGAAUGAGUGAUGUGCCAAACGCUCCGGCGCCGAAGGAUGUGGCUGCGGCCGAUUAGGUAGACGGUGGGGUAACGGCCCACCGUGCCAAUAAUCGGUACGGGUCAUGAGAGUGAGAACCCGGAGACGGAAUCUGAGACAAGAUUCCGGGCCCUACGGGGCGCAGCAGGCGCGAAACCUUUACACUGCACGACAGUGCGAUAGGGGGAUCCCAAGUGCACAGGCAUAGCGCCUGUGCUUUUCGGUACCGUAAGGUGGUACCAGAAUAAGGGCUGGGCAAGACCGGUGCCAGCCGCCGCGGUAAUACCGGCAGCCCAAGUGAUGGCCGAUCUUAUUGGGCCUAAAGCGUCCGUAGCUGGCCGCGCAAGUCCAUCGGGAAAUCCACCUGCUCAACAGGUGGGCGCCCGGUAGAAACUG